Molecule: ribosomal RNA, 727 nt
Filed under: Aleuroplatus sp. PB-2004
Lineage: Eukaryota; Metazoa; Arthropoda; Insecta; Hemiptera; Aleyrodidae
Description: small subunit ribosomal RNA
Source: RNAcentral
UAAAAAUUUUAUUUUAGUUUAAAAUUAUGAGUGGGUUUUAUAUGUAUGAGUGCCGGCUAUUUAAAAUUUAUGACAUUAACAUUUAAUUUUAUUAAGUUAAAGAAAUUUAAGCAUAGGAUCUCCUAAAUUAGCCAACUAAUUAAAGUGCCAGCAGUUGCGGUUAUACUUGAAGCUAGGUAAUUUAACUCUACGUUAAUUUAAUUUUAAAAAUUACAAAAAAAGAUAUUUUAUAAGUGAAAUUUAUAGAUAAAGGUAAUAAGUAAUAUAAUUCAAAUUAAUUGGGCUAAUUAAAACUAGGAUUAGAUACCCUACUAUAAACUUAGUUUUUAAAUAAAGUAGUAAAAGUUUAAUUCUUCAAACUUAAAAAAUGUGGCGGUAUUUUAAGCUAACUAGAGGAACCUGUUUAAUAAUUGAUAGUCCACAACCCAUACUACAUUAAUUUUUAAUUUAUAUAUCGCUGUUCAAUGCAAGCCAGCUGGCUAUGCAUAAAAUUAAACUUAUUCACCAAAUCAAGUCAACACAUAAUUCAAUUAGUGUUCAAAUGGGUUACAUUUAUUUGCAAUUAUUUUAAGAUUAAUUAAAAUAAUUAGAUGAUCGAAUUUAGAAUUAAAUUUUACCAAGGCUCUAAAUUGAAUGAGUAAUAAAAUAUGUACAAAUUGCCCGUCACUCUUAAACUAAUUAAGAUAAGUCGUAACAAAGUAAGUUUACUGGAAAGUAAAUUUAGAAA